GAUGAACGCUGGCGGCGUGCCUAAUACAUGCAAGUCGAGCGAACAGACGAGGAGCUUGCUCCUCUGACGUUAGCGGCGGACGGGUGAGUAACACGUGGAUAACCUACCUAUAAGACUGGGAUAACUUCGGGAAACCGGAGCUAAUACCGGAUAAUAUAUUGAACCGCAUGGUUCAAUAGUGAAAGACGGUUUUGCUGUCACUUAUAGAUGGAUCCGCGCCGCAUUAGCUAGUUGGUAAGGUAACGGCUUACCAAGGCAACGAUGCGUAGCCGACCUGAGAGGGUGAUCGGCCACACUGGGACGGAGACACGGUCCAGACUCCUACGGGAGGCAGCAGUAGGGAAUCUUCCGCAAUGGGCGAAAGCCUGACGGAGCAACGCCGCGUGAGUGAUGAAGGUCUUCGGAUCGUAAAACUCUGUUAUUAGGGAAGAACAAAUGUGUAAGUAACUAUGCACGUCUUGACGGUACCUAAUCAGAAAGCCACGGCUAACUACG
RNAcentral lists this ribosomal RNA (495 nucleotides) under uncultured bacterium. RNAcentral's name for it is "partial 16S ribosomal RNA". It matches the Rfam family "Bacterial small subunit ribosomal RNA", at positions 28 to 505 of the family's 1533-position model. The record is from RNAcentral.